CAUAGGCUUCAAGCGUUGUCCGGAUUUAUUGGGCGUAAAGAGUUCGUAGGCGGUCGAGUAAGUCGGGUGUGAAAAUUCUGGGCUCAACCCAGAGACGCCACCCGAUACUGCUUAACUUGAGUUCGAUAGGGGAGUGGGGAAUUCCUAGUGUAGCGGUGAAAUGCGCCGAUAUUAGGAGGAACACCGGUGGCGAAGGCGCCACUCUGGAUCGACACUGACGCUGAUGAAGGAAAACAGGGGUAGCAAACAGGAGUAGAUGCCCUGGUAGUCCAUGCGGUAAACGGUGGGCACUAGGUGUGGGUUUCUAUUAACGAAAUCCGCGCCGUCGCUAACGCAUUAAGUGCCCCGCCUGGGGAGUACGGUCGCAAGACUG
This 373-nucleotide ribosomal RNA is filed under the name uncultured prokaryote. Its description in RNAcentral is "bacterial SSU rRNA". It matches the Rfam family "Bacterial small subunit ribosomal RNA", at positions 526 to 896 of the family's 1533-position model. The record is from RNAcentral.